This is a long non-coding RNA of Populus nigra (black poplar), 703 nucleotides long. RefSeq lists it as uncharacterized. NCBI's taxonomy places the organism in Eukaryota, Viridiplantae, Streptophyta, Magnoliopsida, Malpighiales, Salicaceae. The record is from RefSeq and is a predicted model, not a curated record. The transcript is spliced from 2 exons.
UUGACUCUGAUAGCCCACUUCCCUCGUAUUCUCCAUUUAUUGUCUCUCGUAUUUUCCUUUCAAACCCUUAAUAAGCGUUGUUGUAUUAUUGACCUUGAACGGAUCAAAGUCCAGUUAGAGUGAAAAAUGGCGGCAAAUGCAUGGGACUGAAUAUACUUUUGGCCGAUGAUAUACUUUUCUAGUCAACUUAACAGUGAUGGUAAGAAAGAUACAGAGUAAAUGGAAAGAAAAGUCCACUUUAGAGGCUAGCAAAUUGCGUGCAUACGUUCACCAAUUUGCGUAGAAAGUGCCUAGAACUAUCAAUACGAGUGCCUAGAACUGUGAAAUAUACAACCUCAAGAGAGAGAGAGAGAGAGAGAGAGAGAGAUUGAUUGAUUGAUUUCUCUUAUUAUUUUUCAAGAUAGUUUCCGUGAGGUGAUUUUUGUGUUAAUUUGGGUUCCUGGAUUUUGAGAGUUACUCUCUUGUGUGCUGUAUUGAUUACUGAAAAAACUAAAAUUUGUAAAUCAAAGGGAGAGAGGCUCACUCUUCAAGAAAGAAAGAAAGAAAGAAAGGAAGGAAUAUUAGUGAUUUGAAUGGAACGAUGCAAGGUAAGAGGUGGAUUUGCAGAAAAUCUUUAAUAAUAAUAAUAAUAAAAAAGAAGAAGCAGAGAGAGGAGAUACAAAUUAAAUGCAUAAAAUAUAAGUUGGGAAAUGAGAGCAUACGU